RNAcentral lists this long non-coding RNA (253 nucleotides) under Nicotiana benthamiana. Its description in RNAcentral is "long non-coding RNA (NBEN_LNC039795)". Lineage: Eukaryota; Viridiplantae; Streptophyta; Magnoliopsida; Solanales; Solanaceae. The record is from RNAcentral.
UUGUUGUUCCGUUGGCUGGCCUUGUCUUCACGAGAGGUGUCAUCACGAUCCGGUUCAGGAAUUGGGUUGUGACAAGUUGGUAUCAGAGCCUAGGUUGCAUAGGUCUCACGAGUCAUAAUCAGGUUUAGUAGAGUCCCAUGGAUCGGUACAGAGACGUCUAUUUUUAUACUCGAGAGGCUGCAGGACCUUUAGGAAAAACUUCAUAUUCUUGAAAUUCUAGUCGUGCGACUUUGUUGAUCCGAGAACUAAACUU